ACAUGCAAGUCGAACGGCAGCACAGUAGGAGCUUGCUCCUUGGGUGGCGAGUGCCGGACGGGUAAGGAAUACAUCGGAAUCUACUCUGUCGUGGGGGAUAACGUAGGGAAACUUACGCUAAUACCGCAUACGACCUACGGGUGAAAGCAGGGGAUCUUCGGACCUUGCGCGAUUGAAUGAGCCGAUGUCGGAUUAGCUAGUUGGCGGGGAAAGGCCCACCAAGGCGACGAUCCGUAGCUGGUCUGAGAGGAUGAUCAGCCACACUGGAACUGAGACACGGUCCAGACUCCUACGGGAGGCAGCAGUGGGGAAUAUUGGACAAUGGGCGCAAGCCUGAUCCAGCCAUACCGCGUGGGUGAAGAAGGCCUUCGGGUUGUAAAGCCCUUUUGUUGGGAAAGAAAUCCAGUUGGCUAAUACCCGGUUGGGAUGACGGUACCCAAAGAAUAAGCACCGGCUAACUUCGUCCAGCAGCCGCGGUAAUACGAAGGGUGCAAGCGUUACUCGGAAUUACUGGGCGUAAAGCGUGCGUAGGUGGUCGUUUAAGUCCGUUGUGAAAGCCCUGGGCUCAACCUGGGAACUGCAGUGGAUACUGGGCGACUAGAGUGUGGUAGAGGGUAGCGGAAUUCCUGGUGUAGCAGUGAAAUGCGUAGAGAUCAGGAGGAACAUCCAUGGCGAAGGCAGCUACCUGGACCAACACUGACACUGAGGGCCGA
This 713-nucleotide ribosomal RNA is filed under the name Stenotrophomonas maltophilia. RNAcentral's name for it is "bacterial SSU rRNA". It matches the Rfam family "Bacterial small subunit ribosomal RNA", at positions 53 to 756 of the family's 1533-position model. The record is from RNAcentral. Lineage: Bacteria; Pseudomonadati; Pseudomonadota; Gammaproteobacteria; Lysobacterales; Lysobacteraceae.